AGAGUUUGAUCAUGGCUCAGAACUAACGCUGGCGGCGCGUCUUAAACAUGCAAGUGGAACGGAAAGGCUCCUUUCGGGGAGUACUCGAGUCGCAAACGGGUGAGUAACACGUGGGUAAUUUGCCCUAGAGUUGGGGAUAGCCCCAGGGAAACCGGGAUUAAUACCGAAUACGAUCUGUUUUUCAUAAGAAGAACAGAUUAAAGGUGGGGAUCUUUUAGACCUACCGCUUUAGGAUAAGCCCGCGCACCAUUAGCUUGUUGGUAGGGUAAGAGCCUACCAAGGCUACGAUGGUUAGCCGGCCUGAGAGGGUGAACGGCCACAUUGGGACUGAGAUACGGCCCAGACUCCUACGGGAGGCAGCAGUUAAGAAUAUUGGACAAUGGGGGCAACCCUGAUCCAGCGACGCCGCGUGAGCGAUGAAGGCCUUCGGGUUGUAAAGCUCAAUAAACAGGGAAGAAUAAGCAAUCUCUAAUACAGGUUGCGAUGACGGUACCUGUCAGAAGCACCGGCUAAUUACGUGCCAGCAGCCGCGGUAAUACGUAUGGUGCGAGCGUUGUUCGGAAUUAUUGGGCGUAAAGGGCGUGUAGGCGGGAGAUUAAGUGGGAAGUGAAAACUUAGGGCUCAACCCUAAGCCUGCUUUCCAAACUGAUUUUCUUGAGUACAGGAGGGGCAAGGGGAAUUGGCAGUGUAGCGGUGAAAUGCGUAGAUAUUGCCAAGAACACCAGUGGCGAAGGCGCCUUGCUGGCCUUGUACUGACGCUGAUGCGCGAAAGCGUGGGUAGCGAACGGGAUUAGAUACCCCGGUAGUCCACGCCGUAAACGUUGUGUACUAGGUGUUGGAAGAUUCAACCCUUUCAGUGCCGUAGCUAACGCAUUAAGUACACCGCCUGGGGAGUAUGCGCGCAAGCGUGAAACUCAAAGGAAUUGACGGGGGCCCGCACAAGCGGUGGAGCAUGUGGUUUAAUUCGAUGAUACGCGAAAAACCUUACCUGGGCUUGACAUAAGCUGGAUCGGUGUAGAGAUACACCUUUCUUCGGACUAGUUUACAGGUGCUGCAUGGCUGUCGUCAGCUCGUGUUGUGAGAUGUUGGGUUAAGUCCCGCAACGAGCGCAACCCUUGUUCUUGGUUGCUACCAGGUUUAGCUGGGCACUCGAAGAAGACUGCCGGUGACAAGCCGGAGGAAGGUGGGGAUGACGUCAAGUCCUCAUGGCCUUUAUGUCCAGGGCUACAUACGUGCUACAAUGGCUGGUACAGAGGGAAACGAAGUCGCGAGACGGAGCUAAUCCUUUAAAGCCAGUCUCAGUUCGGAUUGGAGUCUGCAACUCGACUCCAUGAAGUUGGAAUCGCUAGUAAUCGCGGAUCAGCAUGUCGCGGUGAAUACGUCCCCGGGCCUUGUACACACCGCCCGUCACACCACUUGAGUUGAUAGCGCCCAAAGUGGCCGAGCUAACACUUCGGUGAGGCAGGUUACUAAGGUGAGAUCAGUGAAAGGGGUGAAGUCGUAACAAGGUA
Molecule: ribosomal RNA, 1511 nt
Filed under: metagenome
Description: bacterial SSU rRNA
Rfam family: Bacterial small subunit ribosomal RNA
Source: RNAcentral